CGCCGCCCACAACCCUCGGCCUCUCCCCGGCGCAACGCGCAGCUGCGACCCGUCCUCUCUUUGGACCCGCCUCCGAAGGACGUCACUUCCUGGACGAGUGUUUCCGGGUCAUCGCUUGUCCCGGGGUACUGGCGUCGGUACCCUGCAGCCGGCCGGGGCGACGAGAGCCCAGGCGGGCCAGGCUCCGGCGGCGGCCGCGGCUCCCUCUGGAUUUCCUCGGCCCGGGAGUCCUCGGCGACAGUGCCGGGAGCGCGCCCCUAGUGCGGGUGGGCACCAUGUCAGUGCUUUUAGCCAUGGCCCUGCCUCGAACCCAGAAACCAUGGAGGAGAUAAGGUAGCCCCUCCCCGUCUCUGGAUCAGAUGGGGAAGCCCAGUUCAAUGGAUACGAAGUAUAAGGAUGACUUAUUUCGGAAGUACGUGCAGUUCCAUGAGGGCAGAGUGGACACCACCCCCAGCAAGCCGCGGCCUGGCAGUGAUGAGUACCUUCGAGUGGCAGCCUCGGCCCUGCUCAGCCUACACAAGGUGGAUCCCUUCUAUCGAUUCCGGCUGAUCCAGUUCUAUGAGGUGGUGGAGAGUUCCCUGCGCUCGCUCAGCUCCUGCAGCCUGCGGGCUUUGCACUGCGCCUUCAGCGUGCUGGAAACGGUGGGCAUCAACCUCUUCCUCUACCCGUGGAAGAAGGAAUUCAGGAGCAUCAAGACCUACACGGGCCCCUUCGUUUAUUAUGUCAAGUCAUCGUUACUGGAAGAGGACAUCCGAGCCAUCCUGCAUUACAUGGGCUACGUGCCUGAGUUAGGGACUGCGUACAGACUCAAGGAGCUCGUGGAGACCCUCCAGGUGAAGAUGGUCUCCUUUGAGCUCUUUCUGGCCAAGGUGGAGUGUGAGCAGAUGCUGGAAAUCCACUCACAAGUCAAGGACAAGGGCUACUCUGAGCUGGACGUGGUGAACGAGCGCAAAAGCAGCACGGAGGAUGUGCGCGGCUGCUCGGAGGCCCUGCGGCGGCGGGCCGAGGGCCGGGAGCACCUGACGGCCUCCAUGGCCCGCGUGGCGCUGCAGAAGUCAGCCAGCGAGCGGGCAGCCAAGGACUACUACAAGCCGAGGGUGACCAAGCCCUCGAGGUCGGUAGAUGCCUACGACAGCUACUGGGAGAGCCGGAAGCCACCCCUGAAGGCCUCGCUGAGCCUGCGGAAGGAGCCCGCGGCACCAGACGUGGGGGACGACCUCAAGGAUGAGAUCAUUCGCCCGUCUGCCUCGCUGCUGACCAUGUCCAGCUCACCCCACGGAAGCCCGGAUGACCUGCCGUCCCCUUCCCCCAGCAACGGCCUCAGCCUGCUGCGUGGCACAUACUUCUCCGCUCAGGACGACGUGGAUCUGUAUACAGACUCGGAGCCCAGGGCCGCAUACCGGAGGCAGGACGCCCUGCGGCCGGACGUGUGGCUGGUCCGAAACGAUGCCCACCCCGUCUACCACAAGCGCUCACCCCCCGCCAAAGAGUCCUCCCUGUCCAAGUGCCAAAACUGUGGGCUGUCCUGCAACUCCUCCCUCUGCCAGCGCUGUGACAGCCUGCUCACCGGUCCCCCAGCCCCCAAGCCCGGCGCGUUCUCCGGCAAGCCCUCCGCCCACGACAGCCUGGCCCACGGGUCGUCUCUGCGGGAGAAGUACGCUGGCCAGACCCAGGGCCUCGAGCGGCUGCCGCACCUCCACCCAAAACCCAAGACCCCCACCACAGCCACCUCCCGCUGUGGCUUCUGCAACCGCCCGGGUGCCACCAACACCUGCACCCAGUGUUCGAAAGUCUCCUGCGACGGCUGUCUCAGCGCCUACCAUUACGACCCCUGCUGCAAAAAGAAUGAGCUGCACAAGUUCAUGCCCAACCACCAGCUGAACUACAAGUCCACCCAGCUCUCCCAUCUCGUGUACAGAUAGACUGGACCUUGCACCCCCUGCUCCAAGGGCUACGCCACUGACUUUCUGGUUCCCCGCUCCGGGGAAGAAGUGUUAGUGUGUUGAUCUCAGAAGCAGAGACCUGCAUCUGACCAUAAGUGUCGAUGCCUGUUUUACUCCUGAGAGCACUAGUUUGCUAGUUUUCCGUUCCCAGAUCGCUCCAGCCUACGGGAACUCUACCAACCGUGAUGCCAGGUCACUUGUGCCCCCCGUGGGCAGAAGCAGGAGUGCCCACCUCAUCCUGGGAGAGAAGGUCUGGCGCACAUGUCAUCACGGAGAUGCUGUGUUCACAGACUGGAACAGAAAACGCUCUGCCCCUGCCCUUGGUGUGUACCUUAUUGUAUGAGGUUGCUGUGAUUGAGCUGGAUAAAAUAUAUGCUAAUUUAAAAAGGCAGAUGUUUUACAUUUGAUUUCUAAGAAUUGAAAUGUUGAGAGAUGAUUUAAAAAAUAAUAAAGUGUCUUCCAUUAUUAAA
RNA transcript from Lontra canadensis (Northern American river otter), 2413 nucleotides. It is a transcript of the gene named spermatogenesis associated 2, with no coding region annotated. The transcript has 4 exons. The record is from RefSeq and is a predicted model, not a curated record. NCBI's taxonomy places the organism in Eukaryota, Metazoa, Chordata, Mammalia, Carnivora, Mustelidae.